GACGAACGCUGGCGGCGUGCUUAACACAUGCAAGUCGAACGGAAAGGCCCUGCUUUUGUGGGGUGCUCGAGUGGCGAACGGGUGAGUAACACGUGAGUAACCUGCCCUUGACUUUGGGAUAACUUCAGGAAACUGGGGCUAAUACCGGAUAGGAGCUCCUGCUGCAUGGUGGGGGUUGGAAAGUUUCGGCGGUUGGGGAUAGACUGGCGGCUUAUCAGCUUGUUGGUGGGGUAGUGGCUUACCAAGGCUGUGACGGGUAGCCGGCCUGAGAGGGUGACCGGCCACAAUGGGACUGAGAUACGGCCCAGACUCCAACCGGAGGCAGCAGUGGGGAAUAUUGCACAAUGGGCGGAAGCCUGAUGCAGCAGCGCCGCGUGCGGGAUGACGGCCUUCGGGUUGUAAACCGCUUUCGCCUGUGACGAAGCGUGAGUGACGGUAAUGGGUAAAGAAGCACCGGCUAACUACGUG
Molecule: ribosomal RNA, 468 nt
Filed under: uncultured bacterium
Lineage: Bacteria
Description: partial 16S ribosomal RNA
Rfam family: Bacterial small subunit ribosomal RNA
Source: RNAcentral